This 205-nucleotide long non-coding RNA is filed under the name Elaeis guineensis (African oil palm). Its description in RNAcentral is "long non-coding RNA (EGUI_LNC051668)". The record is from RNAcentral. Lineage: Eukaryota; Viridiplantae; Streptophyta; Magnoliopsida; Arecales; Arecaceae.
AUCGGAGAAAAAUUUUUAAUAUGUGUGACUCCAUAGGUUCGAACCUAAUCCAAUAGCAUUGGAAUAGAUUCCUGUACCAAUCCGAGUAACCAUCUAGUAAUGGUACUCGAUAUUCGAAUUGGCUGAAUGUAUGCAAAGCAACACUCAAGAACCUAUUUGGAUAUAGUUACUAUAUAAUUCAUCCCUUUGAUCCUUGAUACUAGGA